This 477-nucleotide ribosomal RNA is filed under the name uncultured bacterium. RNAcentral's name for it is "partial 16S ribosomal RNA". It matches the Rfam family "Bacterial small subunit ribosomal RNA", at positions 30 to 507 of the family's 1533-position model. The record is from RNAcentral.
UGAACGCUAGCGGGAGGCCUAACACAUGCAAGCCGAGCGGUAUUUGUUCUUCGGAACAGAGAGAGCGGCGCACGGGUGCGGAACACGUGUGCAACCUGCCUUUAUCUGGGGGAUAGCCUUUCGAAAGGAAGAUUAAUACCCCAUAAUAUAUUGAGUGGCAUCAUUUGAUAUUGAAAACUCCGGUGGAUAGAGAUGGGCACGCGCAAGAUUAGAUAGUUGGUGAGGUAACGGCUCACCAAGUCAAUGAUCUUUAGGGGGCCUGAGAGGGUGAUCCCCCACACUGGUACUGAGACACGGACCAGACUCCUACGGGAGGCAGCAGUGAGGAAUAUUGGACAAUGGGUUAGCGCCUGAUCCAGCCAUCCCGCGUGAGGGACGACGGCCCUAUGGGUUGUAAACUUCUUUUGUAUAGGGAUAAACCUACUCUCGUGAGAGUAGCUGAAGGUACUAUACGAAUAAGCACCGGCUAACUCCGUG